AAACGACUCUCGGCAACGGAUAUCUCGGCUCUCGCAUCGAUGAAGAACGUAACGAACUGCGAUACUUGGUGUGAAUUGCANAAUCCCGUGAACCAUCGAGUCUUUGAACGCAAGUUGCGCCCGAAGCCCUCAGGCCAAGGGCACGUCUGCCUGGGCGUCANGC
RNAcentral lists this ribosomal RNA (163 nucleotides) under Ixanthus viscosus. RNAcentral's name for it is "5.8S ribosomal RNA". It matches the Rfam family "5.8S ribosomal RNA". From Rfam's summary of the family: 5.8S ribosomal RNA (5.8S rRNA) is a component of the large subunit of the eukaryotic ribosome. It is transcribed by RNA polymerase I as part of the 45S precursor that also contains 18S and 28S rRNA. The record is from RNAcentral. Lineage: Eukaryota; Viridiplantae; Streptophyta; Magnoliopsida; Gentianales; Gentianaceae.